UUUUUCAGAUCAAAUGAUGCGGAGGCACCAAUAGCAUUGUUGCCACCGGUUGUCAGCACAGAGAACCAUCUCUUUGCUGGAUCACUCUCUCCAGACUAAUCAGCAGCAAAAAGAAGAGGAGAUGCAAUCAUGAAUUAUGUUUCCAGAGAAAUGGAGUUGAGAAAUCAGAUACAGACAGACAGCGUAGUAAAAUUGAGGUAAAAUAACCAAAUGGUGACAUAUAAAAAGAGAGGGCAUACGAGCUGGUGGUCAAGGGAAUAAAUGGGGCGGUGGCGCGCAGCGGCGCUGCGGAGGAUCGCGGGGACGGAACGCCUCGAUAACCUGUGCAUUUUGGGAGAGAGAGAGAGAGAUUGCAGCAGAAUUUGGAGGUUGUGGUAGGGUUUAAGAAGCAGAGGGUUUUAGCCUUGUAGGAGUGUGGAAGGUUCUGGAGCAGAGAUUGAGAGUGAAAUGUGCAUUUCUGUUUUACUCUUUGGGCCUUUCACACAUUACUUGAAUAGUUGGGCUGGGCUGGGCUAUCAUCUAUGGGCUUGCACCAACUUCGGCUUUGGAUUAUACCACAUGUACACUUGUUUAUUUUUAUUUGAGUUAUUGGCACCUUUGUUUCUUUUUUUUUUUGAGAGACAUGAUUAUUGGCAUCUAAAUACACGAAUUUUGCAUUCACUUUAAUUUUUUUUCAUGAACUUUGAAAGUAGUUAAAGAAUACACGAACUUUAACUCAUUUUGUUAAUUUUCAUAAACUGAGAACUGUUAAAAAAUACAUGAAUUUUGGCUUAUUUUGUUUUUUUAUAAAAAAUAAUCCAAAUAAUAAUUUUAUA
Molecule: long non-coding RNA, 815 nt
Filed under: Salvia miltiorrhiza (redroot sage)
Lineage: Eukaryota; Viridiplantae; Streptophyta; Magnoliopsida; Lamiales; Lamiaceae
Description: long non-coding RNA (SMIL_LNC000454)
Source: RNAcentral